UCCUAAAUUUAAGCUUGAAUUUGAAUUGUUAUAGAUUGAAUUGUUGAUUAAGUUAAUGGGUAUGUGAAUUGUGUGAGAAAGUUUGAAUUUCUAUGAUAAUUUUCAUGUUAGAGUAGCUUGGUUCAUGAAAUGAGAUAAUUAGAGAAUUGUUGUUGAAGAUCAUUGUUAAUGGUUUGUUGUUGAUGUAAGAAAGAUGAGUUGGUGAUCAAAAUGGUGUAUUAUUGUUAAAGGUGAUUGUACUCGAACCUUAUGAAAAUUGGGUAAAACUUUGUAUGGCAUAUUGGUAGUAUAUUCGUCAUAUCUCUUUCUGUGUAAUCUGGAAUUAAGUAAUUGUUGAAGUUUCGGAUUCUACACUUAUUUCCCUUCAGUUCGGAUAUAAACUUUGCAUGAUUCGGAUUAAGAAUGGACUCAGAAAACGCAUUUAAAGUUUGUAAAAUUCUGCUGAAAUUUACUUACUGGUUUGACGUAGAUUUUUCUGAAAUAAGCUAAAACGUGAAUCUAAGUUGGGUGAAUGACUCCAGAACUUAAUAUGUAUGUUCAAAGGGCUGAAUAAGUGUUUGUUUUCAAGUUGAAAUACAGAAAGUUAAAAGCAGAAAAGAUAACCCCAAAUCAGCCGUUUUGCAGAAGCGUGAUUCAGAAGCUGACAGAAGUUAUUUGAGACCUAAAUGGUGUAGAGAAUUCAGGAAAAUGCUAAGAUAUUCAGGUUACUAGACAACAUCAUGGUUCGUGAUGAAGAAGCAGAAGUCGUUGGAAGUUCACGUCAGUAGUGUUAUUUUAGAGACUAAUGGAGGAGGCAAGGGAGGAAAUCCAACAAAAUAUGUCGUCACAAAAGUAGUGAGCAAGGCGGAGGGAGGUGAGGUUAGGGAAUCUUUGGAAGAGUCAACUGAGGCAAAGGCAGGUUGGGUCACAGAUAGUUAUUGAGAAUCGAAGACGGUUGGUGAUCGACAGGAACUGCUUUAUGACGGCAGAGAAAGACGUUAAGGAGCUGUUGUUGUGUUUGUUGCCGUUGUUGAGGAAUCUGACGACACAUUCCCAACACUGAUCAG
This is a long non-coding RNA of Medicago truncatula (barrel medic), 1046 nucleotides long. RefSeq lists it as uncharacterized. The record is from RefSeq and is a predicted model, not a curated record. The transcript has 3 exons. Lineage: Eukaryota; Viridiplantae; Streptophyta; Magnoliopsida; Fabales; Fabaceae.